UUAUAUGUGGUAGUUUAUUUGAUUUAUAUGCAAUUUGAGCUCAAAAUACCUCUUAGUUUGCAUAUGUAGGUGUGGUUUACUUAGUGCCUUCCCGUCUCCGUCCUAACCACCGUCGAUCGUCCGCACCGUCUUGUGGCCGACACCACCUUGUGGGUGCCAUGGUUUUAAUAUCCGUCCCCGCCGACCCUCGUCCGGGUUAUGAUUCGGAUGUGGAGGUAUGUGAACCGGAAAUUCCAACCGACCCUAUUGUCGAGAGGUUAAAUGUAUUUGAAAGAGGAAAUGAUUAUUUGAAAGAAAAAUUGAAAAGAAUUGAAGGGGAGAAGAUGGAAUUGGAGUUGCAUGUUGCCCAUGUCGUCGAUGAUCACAAGAUCAAGAUGGAGAAAAUGCGCUUGAAGA
Molecule: long non-coding RNA, 396 nt
Organism: Triticum dicoccoides
Lineage: Eukaryota; Viridiplantae; Streptophyta; Magnoliopsida; Poales; Poaceae
Exons: 3
Source: RefSeq, a predicted model, not a curated record